RNAcentral lists this ribosomal RNA (399 nucleotides) under uncultured bacterium. Its description in RNAcentral is "bacterial SSU rRNA". It matches the Rfam family "Bacterial small subunit ribosomal RNA", at positions 355 to 770 of the family's 1533-position model. The record is from RNAcentral.
UAGGGAAUAUUAGUAAUGGGCGAAAGCCUGAACUAGCAACGCCGCGUGUGCGAAGAAGGCCUUCGGGUUGUAAAGCACUUUUUGAGAGGAUGAGGAAGGACGGUACUCUCAGAAUAAGUCUCGGCUAACUACGUGCCAGCAGCCGCGGUAACACGUAGGAGGCAAACGUUAUCCGGAUUUACUGGGCGUAAAGCGCGUGUAGGUGGUUUGGUAAGUAGGGCGUGAAAGCUCCUGGCUCAACUGGGAGAGGACGCUCUAAACUGCCAAGCUUGAGGAUGGUAGAUGGAGGUGGAAUUCCGGGGUGUAGCGGUGGAAUGCGCAGAUAUCCGGAGGAACACCAGUGGCGAAGGCGGCCUCCUGGACCACUCCUGACACUCGAGACGCAAAGCUAGGGUAGCA